GGGGCUUGUCCCAGCUCAGUGGGUUCAGAGCCACAAAGUGUGUAUCCCGGCUCUUCCCAACAUCCCCAGUGCUGGAAACACUGCAGAGGGUUGACCUGGAGAAAUCCCAGCUACCAAAAUGCUGCUUUUAAAGGAUGUCAGUCCUGGAUGUGAGGUGUUUCUAGGGAAUGAUGCGGAGCAGGCUUUGCUCUGCAGGUUGGGAGCACUGCUCCCAGCCCCAUUGCACCUUCUGCUUCUUCUCCAUCAUUUCCCACCUCUUUUAUUCCCAAAUCUUCUUUCUCCCAAAAGAAACUUCCUUGCUUGUAACUACACCUGCACCUACAUAGCCUGGAAGAAAAGGUGGAGCCCUGCUGGAGCAACGUGGCUCUUUUUGGUCGUUUGAGGGUCUUACUCUUCAGACAACAGCGUUAGUGCCACGUUGUGCCCUGUCUGGGUGAUGGGAAUUUCUCAGCAGCCCAUGAUGGAUCCCAGGUUGAGUUCCUCACUACCAAAGCUUGUCACAGCCCCUUGGCACUGUUUGGAAACAGCCUUUGGCUUCUAUCCCUGUCGUAUCUCCUUUUGCAUUGAGGUUUUUGGGUGACAUGAAGAGCCAAGUGCUCAUGUCCCUCAGUGGCGGGACCUGGUGCUUUGGGCCUGGUUGGUGACCCUCCAUGCUGAGUUCUUCCUCACCCACAGCUUGGUUUGGUGGAUGCAGGAGGAUGCUGGUGUGGGGACAGGCUGGAGCAGAGCUUUGCCAUCUGCCCUGUGUGUCCAUGGUUGAACUCCAACCCAUCCCUUAACACACGCCAUAGAGACGGGGCUCCCCUUCCAUCUGGCUUGCUGGGUGUCCUCCAUCAGCAGGGACCCUCCUGAUGACCAUCAGGAAAGUGUUUGCUGCUUUCUCUUCUAUUUUAUCCUCCUUUUAUCCUUCUAAUCCAAGUCCUGCUGGCACUUCAGCAGGGUGCCACCAGCAGCAGCAGCAAUGGCCGUGGGUUCCCUGCCUGUGCUUAGUACCAUCAGGUGAUACUUGAAGAGAUUCGGGGUGUUUUGCCCUUUGGCACCUCUUAUAUCUUCUUCCUCUUGUGUUGCUGCUGCAGUGUGGGCCCAGCAGCCACCCUGACCCCAUCAGACUAUAAACCCACCCAGUAGUUGUGUACAAUGAAAGACCUGUAAACCUUUCCUAAAUAAAACAUGUCUAUACCUUG
RNAcentral lists this long non-coding RNA (1184 nucleotides) under Strigops habroptila (Kakapo). Its description in RNAcentral is "lncRNA (ENSSHBG00005012540.1)". The record is from RNAcentral. Lineage: Eukaryota; Metazoa; Chordata; Aves; Psittaciformes; Psittacidae.